UACAGAGGGUGCGAGCGUUGUCCGGAAUCACUGGGCGUAAAGCGUGCGCAGGCGGUUAUGUAAGCACAGGUGUGAAAUCCCCGGGCUUAACCUGGGAACUGCAUUUGUGACUGCAUAGCUAGAGUACGGUAGAGGGGAUGGAAUUCCGCGUGUAGCAGUGAAAUGCGUAGAUAUGCGGAGGAACACCGAUGGCGAAGGCAAUCCCCUGGACCUGUACUGACGCUCAUGCACGAAAGCGUGGGGAACAACAGG
Molecule: ribosomal RNA, 252 nt
Filed under: uncultured bacterium
Lineage: Bacteria
Description: partial 16S ribosomal RNA
Rfam family: Bacterial small subunit ribosomal RNA
Source: RNAcentral